This 492-nucleotide ribosomal RNA is filed under the name uncultured bacterium. RNAcentral describes it as "partial 16S ribosomal RNA". It matches the Rfam family "Bacterial small subunit ribosomal RNA", at positions 29 to 507 of the family's 1533-position model. The record is from RNAcentral.
AGUGAACGCUGGCGGUAGGCCUAACACAUGCAAGUCGAACGGCAGCACAGUAAGAGCUUGCUCUUACGGGUGGCGAGUGGCGGACGGGUGAGGAAUACAUCGGAAUCUACUUUUUCGUGGGGGAUAACGUAGGGAAACUUACGCUAAUACCGCAUACGACCUACGGGUGAAAGCAGGGGAUCUUCGGACCUUGCGCGAUUGAAUGCGCCGAUGUCGGAUUAGCUAGUUGGCGGGGUAAAGGCCCACCAAGGCGCCGAUCCGUAGCUGGUCUGAGAGGAUGAUCAGCCACCCUGGAACUGAGACACGGUCCAGACUCCUACGGGAGGCAGCAGUGGGGAAUAUUGGACAAUGGGCGCAAGCCUGAUCCAGCCAUACCGCGUGGGUGAAGAAGGCCUUCGGGUUGUAAAGACCUUUUGUUGGGAAAGAAAAGCAGCAGGUUAAUACCCCGCUGUUCUGACGGUACCCAAAGAAUAAGCACCGGCUAACUUCGUG